This 74-nucleotide transfer RNA is filed under the name Calditrichota bacterium. Its description in RNAcentral is "Calditrichaeota bacterium tRNA-Pro". It matches the Rfam family "tRNA". From Rfam's summary of the family: Transfer RNA (tRNA) molecules are approximately 80 nucleotides in length. Their secondary structure includes four short double-helical elements and three loops (D, anti-codon, and T loops). Further hydrogen bonds mediate the characteristic L-shaped molecular structure. tRNAs have two regions of fundamental functional importance: the anti-codon, which is responsible for specific mRNA codon recognition, and the 3' end, to which the tRNAs corresponding amino acid is attached (by aminoacyl-tRNA synthetases). tRNAs cope with the degeneracy of the genetic code in two manners: having more than one tRNA (with a specific anti-codon) for a particular amino acid; and 'wobble' base-pairing, i.e. permitting non-standard base-pairing at the 3rd anti-codon position. The record is from RNAcentral. Lineage: Bacteria; Pseudomonadati; Calditrichota.
CGGGGCGUAGCGCAGCCUGGCAGCGCGUACGGUUCGGGACCGUAAGGUCGCCGGUUCAAAUCCGGCCGCCCCGA